RNAcentral lists this ribosomal RNA (619 nucleotides) under Vishniacozyma globispora. Its description in RNAcentral is "LSU rRNA". It matches the Rfam family "Eukaryotic large subunit ribosomal RNA", at positions 38 to 647 of the family's 3401-position model. Lineage: Eukaryota; Fungi; Basidiomycota; Tremellomycetes; Tremellales; Bulleribasidiaceae. The record is from RNAcentral.
GCAUAUCAAUAAGCGGAGGAAAAGAAACUAACAAGGAUUCCCUUAGUAACGGCGAGUGAACCGGGAAGAGCUCAAAUUUGUAAUCUGGCGUCCUUCGGGCGUCCGAGUUGUAAUCUAAAGAGGUGUUUUCCGCGCCGGACCAUGUUUAAGUCUCCUGGAACGGAGUAUCAAAGAGGGUGACAAUCCCGUGCUUGACAUGACGACCGGUGCUAUGUGAUACAUCCUCAACGAGUCGAGUUGUUUGGGAAUGCAGCUCUAAACGGGUGGUAAAUUCCAUCUAAGGCUAAAUAUUGGCGAGAGACCGAUAGCGAACAAGUACCGUGAGGGAAAGAUGAAAAGCACUUUGGAAAGAGAGUUAAACAGCACGUGAAAUUGUUAAAAGGGAAACGAUUGAAGUCAGUCGUGCACUUGGUAUUCAGCUGUCUCUGGCAGUGUAUUUGCCUUGUGCGGGUCAACAUCAGUUCUGAUCGACGGAAAAGGGCUGGAAGAAGGUGGCACCCUCGGGUGUGUUAUAGCUUCCUGUCGUAUACGUCGGUUGGGACUGAGGAAUGCAGCUUGCCGCAAGGCCGGGGUUCGCCCACGUUCAAGCUUAGGAUGUUGACAUAAUGGCUUUAAACGA